Molecule: long non-coding RNA, 1011 nt
Organism: Patiria miniata (bat star)
Lineage: Eukaryota; Metazoa; Echinodermata; Asteroidea; Valvatida; Asterinidae
Exons: 2
Source: RefSeq, a predicted model, not a curated record
CGACACUAUGCAAAAUGUGGCCACUGAGCUACAGAAAAACUGACGGAAAUUGUGAUAAAAUCUUAUAAGCAGCGGAUCGGUAGCAACUGCAACACCGCUAGCUUCAAAAAAAAGUCGGAAAAUUAAAUUUUGGAAAACGGUGGGGAAAACGAAAACAGUAAAACAAAUAAAACAGCGGAAAAUACGGCCAAAUUACCGCCAAAUUACGGUAAAAUUUACAGCGGUAUUAAAAAAAUUAAUAAAUAAAUAAUCGCCAUGUCGAACAAAAAAGUCGGUGAACAAAAUGACUGGAUUUACGGUAACUAUACAUCGUCAUUUUUAAGACGGUAAUUCUUUUUUCCGCAGAACUAUUUACGUGUGCAGGAUGCAUUAGGAAAGAAUACUGCAUUAGUGUCGACACAUUUUGUACAUUAUGGGCGGCACGUUGUGUGUGCAUUACAACAAAAUAAUCGUCUGUUUUUAAAAGAAAAUCAUGGAAAACAUUGAAAUAAACAUGCAUGGUAAACACGGGUAAAAUCAUUAAUUUCAAAGGUUUCAGGUAAGCUUAUAUAUUAAACAUAGUUAUUGGCUGCAUUGGAAUGUUUCUCUUCAGUAACAAACGGGCUAGGCCCAGUGUUUUCGUACCCCAGUUCACUUAGGAAAGAGUUGCAGCUUUCAUCGGAGAAAUAUGAGGAUCUAAAAGUGGAGACAGACUGAAUGAGCUAGGCUGCUUUGUCUGGACGAAUAGGACCCUCCAAGGCUCCAACAGCCUCAUCACACAGAAACUCCAGGAACCGGAAGCAGGGAGGAGGACCCACAGAUGAACGGAUGACCUGCUUGCUGGGCUUCCCAUUACUGAUUCUUGAGAAGAGUACCGACAGACAUGCAUAUAGAACUGGCUGGAUGACGAGGUUGCUUCAGUCGGUGAGGAUGAGAUCAUCCAUGCAGACAAAACCUAGGAACCGGAAGCAGGGAGGAGGACCGACAGAUGAACAGAUGACCUGCUUGCUGGGCUUCACAUUACUGAUUCUU